AUUUUGGGCUCUAGUUAGAUUAUUGAUCAAUUUAAAAAAUAAAUGACGGAUGAACGAAUGGCGAUCCACUGGACCGCAGUAUUUUACUCUGACUGAGCACCGACCACAUCCUUCGCUAUCUAAAUACAGCUGUCCAGGGCCGAAAAGUUUCAAUAAAACCGCUCUCAGAUAAAACGUCUUUGUUUAAACAGCCCUAAACAACUUCAACAUCUUCCAUUAUCGUUCAGUUCAAAUUUAAGUCCACGUGGAAAUUCCUGUACAUGGUAACCACGGAAUUAAUUUGCAGGGAGAAACAGGAAAUACAAAAAAAAGAUUGACUUGGUUUCUGACCAAUCAGAGCUAAUGUUGCCUUAUAAUUGGAGUCGCAGUCGCAGACUCGAGAUCUGAUUGGUUAUCGCCUGGCGACACAAGCCUGGUGAAAUAUGAUUGGAUAAAAACUUUACAAUAAUAUACAACGGUUGGAGCGGCGAAACAAAGCGGAUAUAAUAUGACGCGAAGAAAACAGACCAUGGCGAAUCAUUUUAUCUACAAAGAAAAUCUGACCAUGUUUAGGCUAGCAGAGAUCGCUUAGCUGCGUCUGAUUGCGGCCCCUUUGCGUGGUCACGCACGUCCGUGCACGUGCGUCAAAACCAUGGUAACCGGCGCUGAGUUAAUAAAAGAAGGGCAGCCGUGUGAUUUUACACAUUUGCCUCUGGUCUUGGAGACAUUGACAGCAAAACAAAAGUCUGUGACCACAUUAAUUUGUUUUGCAGAAGCAAUGGAGCGCCACUUGCCCCCGAGGAUCUGGGAGCUCUGGACACGGUUCAGACGGUGGAGCCGCGGAGGCAGACAGCGGUGGCAGCCGGAGGGGGAAGUUGCUGUGCACGGUCGUCCACCUAGGCGUUGGAGGACUCGCUUUGAGCGAGCCACUUCCCACGUUCUGGAAGUUGGCCCCCCCACCUCUGGCAUUGAGGACUCAGGCUCCACAGUGGAAGGGACCAGUGAGGACUUAGCGGUUGGGGAAACCAACGAGGCUCCUAGCAGCGGCAGCAGCAGCAGCACACCUGGUAGAGGUAGGGAGGACAGUGAUGAGGAGGGGGCUGCUCCCAAAAGACCAUGUUUUACUGUGAGACACUGUGUCACACAGUAA
RNAcentral lists this long non-coding RNA (1129 nucleotides) under Betta splendens (Siamese fighting fish). RNAcentral describes it as "lncRNA (ENSBSLG00000016262.1)". Lineage: Eukaryota; Metazoa; Chordata; Actinopteri; Anabantiformes; Osphronemidae. The record is from RNAcentral.